Non-coding RNA from Xyrichtys novacula (pearly razorfish), 10317 nucleotides. The record is from the annotation of a GenBank genome assembly. Lineage: Eukaryota; Metazoa; Chordata; Actinopteri; Labriformes; Labridae.
AUCGUGUCUCAGCUCCCGCCUCCUCUUUCUCACACUGUUCGUCUCAUCACUAUGUAAGUGGGGAUACCAGCCUGUUUUGCAUACGGCUGUUUAGUCCUUUGUGGCAGGCGGGGCGGCAUGCGAAUAUGCAAAACGGUACUGGGAGGCAUUUUGUAGUGUGAUGAGGAAAGGGAGACUGUGGUGGGACUGUGAAUGAUGCCGCCGUGUGCGCGAACACUUGUGUGUUUUCAAACCGAUUCUUUGCGAUGGUUGGUACGGGAGCGAGUGCCACCAGAACCAAAGCCAGUUGAUCAACGUGGCGAUUGGAAUACCAACACCAAGCAACCAUAAAUCCUACAUGGAGGGAUCCUCUUAUCUUCUUCGGCCUUUAUUCCAUUUCAGGGACAAUGCAAGGAAAGGUUGUCAUUUUUCUUUCAACAUCAUCGUUACUGUAAAUCCACACGACACAGAAUCGGCAAAUAUCGGCGGCGAAUUAAGAAGAAAGAGACGGGGAAGUUCCUUUGGCUUCCCCCUCCUCUUCACCCAUAUCCUUCUCCCUUGUACUUAUCUGUGGCGGGGAGCCAAUGGUUCAUUAUAAUUGGCCGUUGUCAUCAUGCAGAUGACACACAGUCAGCGCUCUGAAUAUCAUUAGCGCCUUUGCAUACCUCCGCUCUUUUUUCUUUUUUUUUUCUGUCCUUUCUUCUUGUUCCUUCAUCCCGAGGCUCGUUUCGGGACUCGAUAUUCCAAAAGGUAAUUAUCAUCCGCGAGAGCAGCCUAUCAAUAUGUGGAGAUAGCCAUAAUGGGAGAAUGAAGGUGCAUGUCUGAUUGUCGUUGUCUCUUUCGCUAUUUCCAGUGCAAAUGUAAAACAAUCUCCCGGGGUGUGAGGGGGAAUAAAAGUGUAUUUGUGUGAUUGCAUUUGACUCUCCUUUGCUGUGGAGCCCAUUGUAUAUCUCUGUGGUUAAAGUGUGUUCUUUGCUCUCCUCCUCCUCCUCCUCCUCUUCCUCCCCCUCUCCGCCUCGUUUGCAUAUAUCAGCCUCUCCUUGGGUAGAAUAAUAGCUCUUAAUUCUUCUCUGCAGCUCUUGCCUUCUGAUCCAUGACAAAAAAGAAAGAGGCAGCCGGCCAAUUUGCAUACUCCGCAUACUGAUGAGCCGUGUGUUGGCGACUGCCUAAUUACCAAGUCCUCCAGUCACUCUCUCUCUCUCUCCUCUUGCAGCUUUCGCUUUUAACCCUCUCUCGCCCAAUCGCCAUCCCUUCGUCUCCACAGGAAACCUUUGCCGUGUUCAGCAUUAAUUCAUCUGGAGGGGCAUGCAGAAACAAUAGAGAAACAAGACAUGAACAGAAGCAUAUUGCGGUGACGAGCGGCUCGUUCAUUCACCUUCGUUUAUUCCCCCGUCUGUGUUUAUUGGCUAAUUUGCGACUCCUCUCGCUCGCGGCGGCUCUCCUUAAGCUACCCUCUUUGUCUUUGCCUUUGAAAUUUACAAAAUCUUACAAGAAAUCAAUACUUAAUUGAUUAUUCACUUUCCUGCAGCCUCAAACGACCGGCGAGUGCACGUGCGUAUUAAAUCCAGCGUGUGUGUGAGUGUGUACGUGUGAGUGAGUCUCUGGUAGAUCCCAUGGUAGUCCCAGUUCUUUCGAGGCAGCAGGCGGACGAGGUGGCAGUGAGCUCUGAGAGCAACACUCUGCAGCAUCAACGUGGAUGUGUAUGUGUAUGUGUGUGUAUGCAUGCAUGUGUGUGUGAGUGAGUGUGUGGGGCACGUGAGACGUACCAGGGUCUCAUCAAUAGUGCCAGGGAAGUUCCAAGGUUGCAAGAGGGUUUUCUUCUCAGCCAUUUUGGUGCAUCCAGAGGAGAGAGGAGCAUGGAAAUCAUCAUCAACAACAACAACAACAACAAACCAAGACCGAGCCUGUGGGCACAGGAAGCACUGAAGACUCCAAGCAGGAUGUGGAAAAAGUAAUGGAAAGGAGUGUGUCCUUGAUUCCCGAGCUUUGUUUUUGUCCUCUUUGCCGCCGCUUCUUUGUUUUCCGUCCUGGCGUUGAGAAAAAAGGAGCAGGGCAAGAUGCCACCUGGACCCUUUAGAGAACUCUGUGGCAAAGUGGGCGCGGAAAUAGGGGCGUGAAGAGAGGGGCGUAAGGAGGAGGAGGAGGAGAGAGAGGGGUAAAGGGUGCCUGGCGCCUGCCUCUGAUAUGCCAUAAGGAUGGCAGGCACGUAAUGAUAGCAAAUGUAGAGCAGAUUGGCUUGGAGGAGGAGGAGGAGGAGGUGGAAGAGAGACAGGGAAAGGGGGAGAGGAGACAGAUGGCAAAGCUGGCCUUGUGCCAACAAUACCAAGACAUGACUACGCAGGGAAACCUCCCCCUACGCUUUGACACUUGUUGCUUACUGUGUAUUUGAGUGUUUGGUCUACGAACUGGAGCUGGAAUGUACCAAAAUGUUAGUGUUUGCAAAGAUAUUCCUUCAUCUUUAUCUGUAAAGGACGGCAAUAAUAUAAUGUUUCACCAUCCCUGUAUGCACUGAUGGGAUAUUUGAGUAUGUAUGAGAGCCUAAAGCAAAAUGAGGGUGAAAGAUAGAGGUCUGGCCUCCUAUAUGACCUCCAUUAAUGCUACGUGCCAAGGGUCAAAUAUUGACUCUCUUCACAUAUCUUUCCUUAUAGCCAUCAAAAAUAGAUGUUGCAACCCGCCUCAAUCACUGUUCUCCACACUGAUGACAUUUGAGUUUUAGUGGGGAAAAUGUUUUUUGUCUCACAGUCUUCAGGAGUAAGAAAAGAGAAAAAAAUUGCUGGCCCGUGUUGGUUUAUGACAAGGAAAACGGAUGGCAGCGAGAUAGAGUAUUAUGAUGUUCAUAUUGAAAUGUGCUGAGCAAACAUCUUCCUGUAGCAGCAGACGUGCUCAGCAUGUGUGAGGAAAAGAGAGAGAGAGAGUGGGAGGGAGAGAAAUGUAUUUGGGUAGUGUUUGAGGGGGUGCAAAAUACAUACUGUACAGUAUUUUUGUCUGAUUGAAUGUGUGCCAAUGAAGCAAGUAGUUUUGACGCCACAAAGACGAAUUAUGGCGAGUAUAGCUGGCACAUAUGAGGAAAAAGGAACAUCUGAGGUGAUGUGAAGUGGACAGGAUUGGAGAUGUGUACGAUUGUCAUGUUUUACCUGUUUUGCAUGAUUGGUAGUAAAGCAAUGCAUAAGAAAAGAUUGGUCAAAGCUCUGUCAUGUGUAGAUAAAGAGAAAUCAUACACUGUGUGUAUGUGUGCGUGUGUUUGGGGGGGGGGACUGGAUGGAAGGGGGGCGUUAUCCAAAUCAGACAGCCUAUUUGAAUAAGAACAAUCACAGCUCCAAAAUGGAGCAGAGACACAGACAGGGGGAAAUGGCGAGGCGAUUUGACUUGCGAAUAAGGCAAUGCAUAUCUGCAUGCUAAUUACGCAGCAAGAAGGGGGGAAAAGAGUGGAAAGCGCCCCCCAUGCGCCAGACAGAGAGAGGGCGAGGGAGGAAAGACACAGCAGACACGAGAGAGAAACAGGGGGGAUGAGCAAGCGAACAAACGGACAAACAAACGAGGGAAUCAAAGGGAGCUACAGACGAGAUGGGUAAUUAAUUCCCCAUAAGCCUUUAUUCAGCGGCGUUUGAUUUUCUUUGGAAACAAAUCAACGCGCAUGGAAGAAGAAGAAAGGAGCACAAGCAGAGGACGAGGGCAGGGAUUGGAGCGGGGUUGGGGGGCAUCCGAAAAUUAAAAUUAUUGAUUGAUCUUAGGGUGCUGGGGGCUGUGGCGCGGAGGGCAUUUUGAGGAUGUAAUUAGAGCGGACUGGGACCAAGGCUGGAAUGAUAAUAGAUGACGUUGGAAUUCACCAUGGCGAUUGGCCAUUAAUCUCCAUUAUCGCCGACCGGGAUAUUAAAAAUUCUAAUUGGAGGGACAAAAAUGAUGUGGCUGGUGUGUGUACGCGUGUUUACAAGUGUGUGUGUGCUGGGAUGUUGAUCUUGGGAGUUUGGUGAUAAUUGCCGCCAUGGGGGGAUGAGGUAUAGUAUAUCAACUGUAUGAGCCGCUGAUUAGAAUUAUGAACUGAACGAUGCAGAACUGGGUGUAACCUUGUUUCCUUUUUUGUUAAUAGAAUGUCAAAAAAACUAAUUUAUCAUUUGGGAAAAGCAAUUUUGACAACUUAAUUUAGUUUUUUGCCUACGUGAACAUUAAUGUAUGGUUUCAUUUCACUGUGUGUGUAAUGACGUAUGAAUUUGUGUAUGUUUUUAAGGUGUUUUCGUGAUAAACUAGCUCAUCUAAUGACAAAAUGUUCCAUGUCACUUGCGGUUUUGAUACAAAAUGAUCCAUAAACACUGUCUUUGUUUGUUUUUUAUCAAUGAAGAUGAUAAUUUUCGAUUUGAUUUAUGAUAUUUAUAAGAAAUCCUGAAUGCCAUAUCUAUCUAGCAGUUUAAAAUAUGUUCUGUUUGUAUUAAAAACAAUUUAACAAACUUCAUAUGUGUUUGAUUGUUUGUGUUUUUGACAUGUGGUGAUAAGUUCUCAAACUCUGCUCUGAGAGGAAAAGCCCUGCUGUAGGGAGUCCUCGGCCCCCGCGGGUGCUGUGAUGUCACCGUGGCCUUGGAUUCGCCGUUUGCACUAAGUUACAUCAGCCCAGAUUAAGGAGCACAGAUGACAGGCCAAUACUGUGUUUAUCAAUAGCUCCACCACCUUGCAUGACUGUGCUGUGACACUGUCGAUAGAUUAUGAAAUCUUACUGUGUCAGCUAUUCAAUAUUACAAAUUGCCUGUGUGUAGUCGGCAUGCUCGUGCACGCUCGCAUUGGUGUACGUGUGUGUGUCCCUGACGUAAAUAUGCAAGAGGUUAAUGCAUAUGUUCCAGUAACGUCUCCAUGUAUUCACUCUGCAUGAUUAGGAACUGUCCUUGAAUUAGUAAGAUGAAACCGCAACCCCCAACUGUGCCGCCGUCACACACUUGUUUCCAACACACACACUCGUGAUAUUGUUUUACACCUUAAGACAAGCAGUCACACAAAGAUCCCCUAUUAGGUCUAAAAUGAAGACAUAGCUGCACUCAGACAAGCAAAAUAAUGAAAAACACUUCACCUCUGCUGUUAAUUCAUUGUUCAUUAGAGAAAGAAGACACUGUCACCAUGUAGGGUUCGCAUGCUUUUAUUUGUGUUAUAUGUGCGCUUCUUUGUGUGUGUGUGUGUGCGAGAGGGCCUGUGUGAUGUCAUUACGUUAAUGGUCUUUCGCUGGGGCUAGUCAUUAAAUGAGGAUAUUAAAGCAGUAGCCUGUUUUUAUAUGCAUGGAGGGGUGAUGUGUGGGGGUCACAUUUGCUUGAAGCCAUCACUCAUGCACGAUGGGAGGAUGCACAAACACACACAGGGACACAUACAAAUCUGCAGAGUGCGUAAGUAAGGGGUCACACUGCUCUUUUGAGGAGAAACAUGUCUAUUUGUACUGCUCUUUCUUUGCAUACAGUGACAGACACCUACUUGGCCUCCAUUUAAGUUGCUUUUUAUCCAUAUGUACCCUCUUUCAAGCCAGAUUGAUCCUGAUAUUUAUGAGCUGGGCUUGACAUGCAUAUUAUUAUUGUCAUUACUGUUAUUAUGCAUUUCAGGGGUGGGAAAUAACAUUAUGCCAGGCAGAGGCGGUGCAAAAGCAGAAGCUAUCACUGCUGCAAUCAUCAGAUUGGCCUGAUUUAUGAUUUAUGCAGACCACAUACCGUCUCAGAUAACGCCCCAGGAGGAGCCGGGCUGUAAAAAAUUGUUUUAGCCAAUUGAUUAAUCAAGACUGGUCAUAUGUGUGAGUACUUCAUUUGUAUAUGUGCUUAGAUUGCGAAGGGAAAUGUGUCUUUAUCUUGUGUCUGAAUCUGUAUGAGCAUAUGGGUGUCUGGCUGGUGUUGGAAAAACUGAUUUGGUGGUGUGACCUUGUGUGGCGGGGAUUGGUGGGUUUGGAGAAUGUGAUGGAGAGAGGGGGGGACAGCUGGUAAAAUGUGGGAGUAAGUCAAAGAAAACAAGAUUGGUAUGGUAACCUUUUUUUUCCCCACUGAAGUAAUGAAAAGUGUACAUUUUUGAUGACUUGCAACCCAAUAAUUCCUGUGAGUUGAAAGCUGGAGUGUAGAAAAUUAUGAAUUUGUACAACCUCUCUCUUUCUGUUAAUCAUCUCCUCAUGUUAUAAACAUCAAAACUGUGUUUUCUGUCUUUGUUUUUUGGAGCUUUGAUUUAUGUGACAAUGACAUACUAAAACAGAGCAUAUUUUGUUAGAGGGGAAAUAACUUCUAUUAAAUGUUCAACGGCAAUAAUUAAAGAGUGCCAAAAAUGCCUCCAGGUGGUGAAUUGUUUUCUAAAUGAUGGUACAAGCAAAGUACUUGUUUCUUACCUUGAUGUCAUGUUCGUAGUUAGAGCAAAGAGCAGGAGUGAUCUUGCACUGCUUCAUCUCAGCAUCUCUCCGUGGCUCCCUAAAAAAAAAAUUAAAACUGAUCAGUAAAGUAAGGCAUCAUCAAAGCAUACUGAAAUGACUCAAGAGAACAGUCAGUGACAAUGCCAGGAACAGUCGUGACAGCUCCAAGCGGCUUAAAAGUGAAGCAAUGUGGUGAACUUCUAAACAGGUAUAAUCUAGUUUAAUAAAAAGGGUCACUUUUUAGGUACGACAGACCAAAACAAAUGUCGUCCCAUAACACUUUUACAUAUGGAACAAUCAGAGACCCAGUUUUGUGUCUAGUCACCAAUCCUGAAGUAAGAGUUGAGCCUAGAGUCUACAGUGUUCAAGUCUAAGCCUCCAAAAAGGAAUCAAAGUUGCGCUCCUAUUACCCAAGUCCAAGUCCAAGUCGAGUCCUUGUGAAGGAUAACUGUCUGACAUUGACAUAUCAACUGGACUGACUGUGUCUAGAAAACUUGUUUUAUUUACGGGCAUCAGACUGUGAUCCUGUCAGAGAUUCAAAUGACCAAAUUAAGUCACCAUUGUCUAUAAAUGUACAACACGCUCUCUUAAUAAAAAAGAGGACACAUUGUUUCUACCACGGUGGGAUCCAUGCAGGUGUUUUGUAAACUCAAGCGACUGGUCACCCAGCUGCUAUUAAACUAAACAUACAGCUUGGAUCCAACGGUUGAGUCAGUCUAACGUUUGCUAACAGAAAUUCUUGUACUUCAAGUGUAAAAUCAGUGAAAAUCAAGAAAAACACAAGGCACACGGGUCUGGACCCUCAAAGCCAGGAAAGUUGAUCUGUGGUGAAGAGAGAAACUGAAAAAGACAAAUACAGCUAGCUGGCCACAAAAAUGUCCGCAAAAAUUAAGACUUGUAGUGGUAACAACAACAAUAAGAUUAGAAAUAUGAUGCAUUUUGGUACGAUCAAGACAAGGUUGUAGCCAAUUAGUAUUUUGUACUUGUUAAAAGCGUAUAGCUCAACAAUGAUGCAACAUUAAUAUCUCGGUUACAGUUUAUUUUUUGACUGUUUUACAGCCACCAUUUCCAGCCCAGGCAACAAGACAUCUACUUCUCUCAAAUUAGGAUUAAUUCAUGCAGCUAUUUUGAAGUUUGUUUUGGUGAUCUGACUGUAAUCUGUAUCAGAGGACACACAGUGUGGAGAAAUUUUGGAAGACACUACUGGUGCAUUCAGAGGGGUCGAUGUACAGCUCUCUUGGGUGUCCAAAUCAUCCCAGUGAUCACAGACCCCCUCAACCUGGCAGACUUUCUUGUCCAGUCCACACACUGAGCUACAUGGAGUAAUGAAGGCUGAACAGCUGACUAAUAGCUGGUUCUGUCCUGUGCUAGAAACUGAGUAAGAAGGUAGUAAGACGGCUAUGGGCAAGGGCAAAUAUCUGCCACAUGAAUGCAUACAGCCCCUGUUUGUCAUCCUGAUGUUAUUUAGGUGACUGCAGGUAAUAUUGAAAAGCAAUAGGCAAGAUGAUUGCAUGCGAUUCCUUUCUGUGGUUUUGGUGUCCUUGCUAAAGCAGACCAUACAUGCACACAAUCCAACAACCUACAGGCAGAUUUCAGGGAUUGGGACCAAUUGCAGCAUCGGUGAUGCAGAGCUAAAGGGAAGUAGCCGGCCACGGCCAGGCUGAAGGAACCACUGCCGAGGUGAUUAUAGAUUCUGAAAGCAGCGCUGGACUCUGAGGCAGAGAUUAUUAUAAAUUUGGUCAUUGGCAAUGAGGACACUACAGGGGAGAGAAAAACAAAUAUUAGGGCCCCCUUCAAUGCCGGAGCCAGUGUGAGCUGUUUUCCAUUUUAAUGCAUUAUGUGUGUAUAAGGGAGAGAGGGGAGAUGAGUUUUUUUUUCUCUUCUCGAUGUGGGCGUUUGUGUGUGUGUGUGUGUUAGAUUCAGCAAACUCAGAUUUACAUUUCCCUUGCACUGCCUGUGAAAUGUUUUCAGACGUGGACAGCGUGACUGCAAUAAUAUAUAAGGCUCGUUUUCCCGCACUCUCUCCCUUUUUUUGCUUUCUGUCUUACACGUACUUACAUGCACACACACUGCAGGCACAGACAGUUUGAGAGGAUGAGGGAGCGCAGCUGUAAUUACCAACCGAGAGAAAGAAAUGGAAAUUCACACUUAGUCUGAUUCUGUGGUUAGCUUUCAAGCCACUCCUUCACUUAAGCUUAUAUUGACACAUGGAAUUAAAGUGAAGGUCCCCAGACAUCGCACAGUUAAACACACACAGAAGAAUCCAAAAGUUCAUCAUUAUGAAAGGUCUUUGAGAUACACAUGAGGAAAAAUGUGUUUUGCAAAAAAGAUUAUUUAUAAAGUCAUGUUUCUUUCUGUCAAUUAAAAUACCAUAAGAUUAAAGCCAUAAUACUUGGGAUUCUUGAGGUCUUUUCUUGAUUAUGAAAGCGACUCUUGUUAUUAGUAAGUUGGUAUUAACUUUCCAAGGUUAAAAAUCAAAAAGCAUUGCUUUACAAAGGUUUGAGCAGACAUGGGUGGAAUUUAAUUCGCUAGAAAAUAGUGAGAUAAAAGAAGUUAUACAAACUAUUUGUCUGAAGUAUUGGAGCAUGUUUCAGGUCUCUUUAUGUCACUGUCAUCGUAUGGUUGGGAUUGGUAUUUGCACGGACCUCGUGAUUCAAUACCUGUCAUCAAACAUUGGCUUCAAUACAAUUCUAUUUACUGAAAAUUAAAUAGUCUCAGAAUACAACCUGAAGAGAAACAGAGUCAAAAACUACGUCAUUUGAAUUUCUACACUAAUUCAUUGGACUGUGGGGUCUUCAAAAUCAAAAUUUCAAUCUUUAAUAUGGUACAAGUAAGAAAAAAAUUCAAUACCCACGCAAUAAAGAUAUAACUCUAGUAAUAAACAUAAAGGAACUAGGCAGUCCUGGGUAAAAGGACUUGUGAACUUGCAAAGCAGAAUGAAGAUGUUUGUACUCUUUAAACUUCGAUAAAAAUACUUGGGCUGACAAUGUGGCUUAAUAACACACAGACUUAACAUCGAACUUUGAUUAAAUAAGACAGCAACGGCAAAAAUACACAAGAUCAAAAGCAAGGGAAUGAUUGUUUGAAGAAUUACUGCAAAAAUAAUCAUAUGGGGCAGAUAGAAACCCUGGUUUUAAUGAUCUUUCCAUUCUAGUAAUGUUAUACAAAGACAUAAUGACGUCAUGUUCGGAGCAGCAUGUCAUAAAAAUCUUAGCAAUACCAAAACAAGGCAGAGAGCCUCCUCAAGAGAGCAACUACAGGCCUCUUAGCCUGCUUUAACAUCAACUAUAAGGUAUUUCCUCAAGUCCUUGUGAUGUGCCUUAAAGAGUCGCACACUUACUUGUCCAUUUCGAUCUAGUAGGUUUCAUAAAAAGUUGCCAUGUCCUCAACCAAUAUAAAGUGCUAGUCAAUAAAAUACAACCGCCAUACUGUUUUGCACAUGCAACAUGUUGUUUAUGGUUGCUAAAAUAAGCAUUUCAUAGGAUCUAAUGGCCAUUUUUUUUCUCUUAUUAUUUAGCUGAAGGGAUUAAAAUGAAUGAAUAUGAUUUGUAGAAUAAACUUGUAUGCAGAUGAUGUAUUACUAACUUCCAAACCUAGUAAACUCAGCGCCACUGAAGUAAUUGAGUUUCUCAACCUUUCAGGGUAGAAAUUCAAUUUUAACAACAGUGAAGCGACUCCUCUAAACUGAGAAAGAAGAGUGUUGUUGAGGACAUUUCAGAGCAAAUAUCCUGCUCUUCCUAUAACAUUAUUUUUGAAUGUUCAGAUAAAUCUGUGCAGCGAACAGUCUUCUAAAUCUUGCGAGUAGAGGGCAGAAACCCAGUGACAAUGACAAGGAGGAGCGGUGACAAUGGUUUCCUCAGAAAGCUGACAUAUUUAUGAAAUGUAAUCUGUUAUCGCUGCCAAAUGUCCUCUUGUUAUGUAUUUUUAAUGAAGUGCAUUGUGUUGAGUUGUUAUGUGUGUGCUUGUACUCGAUCUUUGAUUCUGCA